Molecule: long non-coding RNA, 1105 nt
Organism: Cyprinus carpio carpio
Lineage: Eukaryota; Metazoa; Chordata; Actinopteri; Cypriniformes; Cyprinidae
Source: Ensembl
AGACAGACAGACAGACAGGUUUGAUCUCUUUAUGGUCCGUGUUUCCGGCUGUUCGGAGCGUGUCCUGCAGGAGGCGCCGCUGCUCCAGGCUCGCGCGCCGGAAGUGAGUUUGAGUUGAGUUGAGUUUGCAGAAGUUCUGACUCACUGGAGUUCAGAAAGGCAUUAGAUUCUCCCUCCUGCACUUUAAACUCUCCCGCAGCACAUGCAGAAAUACAGCAACGAGCACGUGUUGUACUGACGGGUAUAUCACGAUACUGAAGACGAGCACAGAUGUUAACUGAUGGACUGGAGUGCUGUGGAUUACUUGUGGAUUAUUGUGAUGUUUUUAUCAGCUGUUUGGACUCUCAUUCUGACGGCACCCAUUCACUGCAGAGCAUCCAUUGCUGAGACACUGAUGCAGUGCUACAUUUCUACAAACCUGAUGAAGAAACACACUCAUCCUGAUCUCAGAUGAACUGAGGAGAUGCGCUUGUAGACGUGAGGAACUCCUGACCCCGGGAUGACCCCUGACCCCACGUGACCUGAGUAGAACUAAACUCCUCUGGGACUGAGUGAGUGUGUGCAGCGUUGAGUCCUGAAUGUGAGUUUGCUCCAGCUCUUCUCAUCCCUGAUUAGGAAACUCAAACAGUCUGGAACAUGGGUUUCCUGUAUGUGGAGACGAGAAGCUUGAGGAUGAUGAGGAUGAUGAAGGGGUGAAUAUAAUGCAGGUCUAGAGCUGACCGUUUGCAGUGGACGAUCAUCCUCAGAGUCAUAUCGCAUCAUAUUCUCAUCAUGAAAGAGUUCUGAUUAAUUCACCGUCUGAUCUGAUCCAGGUCGACAGGUAUCCCAUGAUUCCCCAUUUCCCCCCGCUAACAGCUAAUCGCUAAUGACAUGUGGGAGUUUCUGAUGUACUUCAAAAUAAAGGGAUGAGAUCAAGAGACGGCGAGAGCUAUUGUGUUCCUCAGAGACACAGAAGAUCAUCUCAGUUUGAUCACACACACACACACACACACACACACACACACACACACACCUGUCAGGAUCAUUCGCACUGCAGUGACACAUUCCACAUCGUCACUGUAACGAUGAUCCUGAUGUCGUUAAUGACGGAGAACCACGUCUCGUC